This is a long non-coding RNA of Haemorhous mexicanus (house finch), 2720 nucleotides long. RefSeq lists it as uncharacterized. NCBI's taxonomy places the organism in Eukaryota, Metazoa, Chordata, Aves, Passeriformes, Fringillidae. The record is from RefSeq and is a predicted model, not a curated record. The transcript is spliced from 2 exons.
UUUAAUAGGCUCAGACGCUGAUUGGCUGAGCGGCUGCAGCAGCUGCGUCUCCCAUUGGUUUCUUUCCACCGGGGGCGGGACGGGCAGCCGGAUCCUGGCUGUGAUUGGCUGCUGGGGAGCGCAGGGCGGGAGCGCCGUUCCGGCUCCGAAGGAGGAAGGGUUGUUUGGCGCCUUGGUCUCGUGCCGGUCCCCCGCCCGCGCUGCCGUUCUCUGAUUGGUGCGCUCGGGGCGGGCCCCGGCCCCGCGCGAGGCCCCGCCCCCGCCGCUCCCGGUUGUCUCCCGGUGUCCUCCCGGUUCUCUCCCGGUCUCCCGGGCGGGGAUACUUCGCGGGUUUCGGCCAUGAGCAGAAGCGUCUUGCGAGGAAAGCGCCACGGACCACCACCGAGCUGCAGGCCGUGCGGCUUGCGCUGCGUCUGGAAGGAGAUCCAGGCUGCGAGACAAGGCUGCUAUGCAAGAUUCCCUCUGUGCCUGGACUUCGCCCAGAAAAGGCAUCCAGAAUGGAAUCCCGUGUUCUGCACCACCACCUGGCAAACAUUUUGGACAAAAUCUUGGACUAGGCAACUGAAGAAGCAGACCUGCCAGCUUAAAGAAUGCCAGUACUAUGAAUGCUAUCUGUAAUAUUCUGUGUAAAUUCACAUAUUUCGUCUGUAAAAACUAGCAGUAUCAAAAAGUUGAUUUAGCAGUUCAAAGCAGUCACUUCACAGAUAAGAAAUAUUCAUUAUACAUAUGUAUUGUUGGUUUUUUGGGGUUUUUUUGGAGGUUUUGUUUAGCACUUUGCCUAAGAGUGGAGAUGACCAAAGCCAAUGUUUUCUUGGUGUUUUUCUUGGAUUCAGAAACACCAGGAGACAGCUCACCAGGAGACAGCUGACUCAAAUGAAAAGGAGUGAGCCCCCCCCCAGGUCUCUUCUCACACACUACCUUAGGCUGGCCUAGGGAAAGGCUGCAAAACAGAAGUAACAGUAACACAGAAAGGGAAGUACAGGACUAAAUCAGAAAAUGUUUUUUGAACACCUCAAUAGCUGAGUCCACCCUGUGCUAUGUACCCCACCACCUUUCAUCAUGCCCAUCCCUCAGUCUCUGUUUUUCAAAAGCUUUGAGCCAUGUAAUUUCUGAUCUCUUAAACUCAGCCUCAAAAGCAUAAAACACCGGCUGCCAUCACAACAUGCACCUUGCUUCUUCCUUGCUUGAGCCCCUCCUUGCAACCCCUGCCCUCAGUUGCAAGCUCUCUGCCCAGGGACCACCUGUGACUAUGAUGUUUUCUGGAGUGGAUCCCACUGUUUGACAGCACGCUUCUAGACCCACUAUGCACAACACUACAAUAAAUCCAUGUCUAUGCUGCAUGUAACUUCCUUGAGCAACAAAUGAAGAAGAGCUUGACUUGCUGUCAUAUAGAUUUGUUUGAAAAGACUGUAGUGUAUAUAUGAAAUACCAUUAAUAAAGUGUUAAAGUUUCAUGCCCAGUGUUAUCCAGGAAUUCCAGAAAUAUUUUAACACAUUGAAAGAGCAGAUGAAAUUGAAGUCCUAUAAACAUUGCUUUGUUAUUCAAGUUUAAUACUUUAACCAUGGAAAAUGGCAAUAGACAUAGAGGCAUUCCUACAGUUAAGUCACCUUAAAGAGUUUCUAAAGACAACCAAGGAGCUGGAUACAGAGCAGCUUUGACAGAACAUCCAAUUCCAGCGCUGGUGAUGGCAAGGUGAAGCUGUUUGUCGUGGGAAGUAUGGAUGCCUUUCUGAAGUGGCAGAGGACUGUGAAACUCUCCUAUAACCUAGAAUAAAAGCAAACACAAGCAGUGUGGCUGCAAAGGAAGACUUUGCUAAGGAAGCACAGGGAGUGGCAGGUAAGAGCAAAGACUGGUAUUGUCAUAAGUUACCCCUGUGAAACACAAAGCUCUGUUUUGUGUCAGGUACAUACAGGCAACGUGUGUAUUUGUGAUUGUAGUAUGUGUGGAAACAGACCAUGGGACAGUUAUAAAGAUGAAUCCUAAUAAAAACUGAGGAAAGUAAAGCAUGGAAGAAGGCCUUUGAACAUAUCCUUUGUUUGCAAUUAACCUUUAUAAGUCUUAAGUUGAUUUAGGAGCAUUUGAAUUAAAGCUUUAAGGAUUUUGCUUUUUGACAGGAACUUUCUGCUUGUAGCCAAGCCUUAAAGAGUUUUGCAAUAAUAACCGUUUGAAGUAUAAUUUCAGAAUAUUGCUUGUAGUAAGGAUCUUUGAAACUAUAGCUUUAGAAUAUAUAAAAAGGAAAUACGCAUAUCUCAGGCCUUAGCAUAACAGUGAAAAGCAGCUUGAGAAAGGAAGAUGAACAUCAACACAAUGAUUAAUAGUUUUGACCAAGGGAAGCUGGACAUCACUGUUAUGAGAUUAAUAGUCCUUGCAAUUAAAAGGUGAACCCACAUCUGGAAUCUGGACCUCACCAGAUGGGAGACUUCUUACUUCUUUCAGAAGCUGGACCUGCACCAUCUGGGGAUACUCCUUUUCUGGGAUACAUCCUGAGAAAAACUAAAUCACAAUAGUGUAUAGAAUUGUGAUAUAAAAAUUGGGAAUAGAAACUGCUGAUGAGUAAAAAUUGAGAAUAGAAACUGCUGAGAAAGCUUAUGAGUACCCCUAUAAAUACCUGUAAGCCUCAACUAUCGGUGUGCAGUUGGAGGGAAAACUUCCCCCACUCUACCCAGCGCUGUAUUGCUCAUACUUUACCAUAUUAAUUAAUAAAUUGAUUGCUGCUUGAA